Molecule: signal recognition particle RNA, 307 nt
Filed under: Macaca mulatta (Rhesus monkey)
Lineage: Eukaryota; Metazoa; Chordata; Mammalia; Primates; Cercopithecidae
Description: Metazoan signal recognition particle RNA (ENSMMUG00000059041.1)
Rfam family: Metazoan signal recognition particle RNA
About the family: The signal recognition particle (SRP) is a universally conserved ribonucleoprotein. It is involved in the co-translational targeting of proteins to membranes.
Source: Rfam by way of RNAcentral
GCUGGUCGUGGUGGCAGACGCCUGUAGUCCCAGCUACUUGGGAGGCUGUGGCAGGAGAAUGGUGUGAACCCGGGAGGCUGAGCUUGCAGUGAGCCAAGAUCGCGCCACUGCACUCCAGCCUGCAGUCUGGGCGACGGAGCGAGACUCCAUCUCCAAAAAUAAAUAAAUAAAUAAAUAUAUAUAUUUUUGUUUUCUAUUGAGACGGAGUCUCGCUCUGUCGCCCAGGCUGCAGGCUGGAGUGCAGUGGCGCGAUCUCAGGUCACUGUAACCUCUGCCUCCCGGGUUCCAGUAAUUCUCCCUGCCUCAG